RNAcentral lists this long non-coding RNA (326 nucleotides) under Musa acuminata (dwarf banana). RNAcentral's name for it is "long non-coding RNA (MACU_LNC001650)". Lineage: Eukaryota; Viridiplantae; Streptophyta; Magnoliopsida; Zingiberales; Musaceae. The record is from RNAcentral.
CCCAAUGCGAGCCUCGGGGUCCUCCUCCCCACGAACCUCGACGAGGAGACGUCCGCCCUCUCCGGCUGGAUGGUUGAGUCCAACCGCGCCGUGCGCUACGUCGACUCCUACCACUUCGACGUCCCCCAGGGGAAGCGCGCCAUCGAGCUGUUAUCCGGCAAGGAAGGGAUCAUCUCCCAGAUGGUGGAGACCACCCCUGAAAAGCAGUACAAUCUUACCUUCACGGUAGGUGCCGCCGGCGACUCGUGCCAGACGCCUCUGGCGGUGAUGGCCUUCGCCGGGGACCAGGCGCAGAACUUCCACUACUCGCCCACGGGCAACGCCAC